RNAcentral lists this ribosomal RNA (626 nucleotides) under Microcharidius diecki. RNAcentral's name for it is "SSU rRNA". It matches the Rfam family "Eukaryotic small subunit ribosomal RNA", at positions 10 to 604 of the family's 1831-position model. The record is from RNAcentral. Lineage: Eukaryota; Metazoa; Arthropoda; Insecta; Coleoptera; Carabidae.
GAUCCUGCCAGUAGUCAUAUGCUUGUCUCAAAGAUUAAGCCAUGCAUGUCUCAGUACAAGCCAAAUUAAGGUGAAACCGCGAAAGGCUCAUUAAAUCAGUUAUGGUUCCUUAGAUCGUACCCACAUUUACUUGGAUAACUGUGGUAAUUCUAGAGCUAAUACAUGCAAACAGAGCUCCAACCGGAGACGGAAGGAGUGCUUUUAUUAGAUCAAAACCAAUCGGCGGCAGUAGCGUUUCGGCGUUAUUGUUCGUCGCACUGUUUGGUGAUUCUGAAUAACUUUUUGCUGAUCGCACGGUCUCGCACCGGCGACGCAUCUUUCAAAUGUCUGCCUUAUCAACUGUCGAUGGUAGGUUCUGCGCCUACCAUGGUUGUAACGGGUAACGGGGAAUCAGGGUUCGAUUCCGGAGAGGGAGCCUGAGAAACGGCUACCACAUCCAAGGAAGGCAGCAGGCGCGCAAAUUACCCACUCCCGGCACGGGGAGGUAGUGACGAAAAAUAACGAUACGGGACUCAUCCGAGGCCCCGUAAUCGGAAUGAGUACACUUUAAAUCCUUUAACGAUUAGCAAUUAGAGGGCAAGUCUGGUGCCAGCAGCCGCGGUAACUCCAGCUCUAAUAGCGUAUAU